AACGAACGUUGGCGGCGUGCCUAAUACAUGCAAGUCGAGCGAGAAACAGAUCCUUCGGGAUCUGGAGUAAAGCGGCGUAAGGGUGAGUAAUACGUGGAUAACCUACCCCCGAGUCUGGGACAACCCAAGGAAACUUGGGCUAAUACCGGAUACGGCCCCGGAUACACCUGUAACCGGGACUAAAGCGAACCGAAAGGUCCGCGCUUGAGGAGGGGUCCACGGCCUAUCAGCUUGUUGGUGGGGUAGCGGCCCACCAAGGCUUUGACGGGUAGCCGGACUGAGAGGUUGGUCGGCCACAUGGGCACUGAGACACGGGCCCAACACCUACGGGUGGCAGCAGUAGGGAAUCUUGCGCAAUGGGCGAAAGCCUGACGCAGCGACGCCGCGUGGGGGACGAAGGCCCUCGGGUUGUAAACCCCUUUUCUGAGGGGCGAACACUGACGGUACCUCAGGAAUAAGCACCGGCUAACUCCGUG
RNAcentral lists this ribosomal RNA (476 nucleotides) under uncultured bacterium. RNAcentral describes it as "bacterial SSU rRNA". It matches the Rfam family "Bacterial small subunit ribosomal RNA", at positions 29 to 507 of the family's 1533-position model. The record is from RNAcentral.